GCCAGGUGUGGUGGGGCAUGCCUGUAAUCCCAGCUACUUGGGAGGCUGAGGCAGGGGAAUUGCUUGAAUCUGGGAGGCUGAGGUUUCAGUGAGCUGAGAUCAUGCCACUGCACUCUAGCCUGGGUGACAGAGUGAGACUCUGUCUCAA
RNAcentral lists this non-coding RNA (148 nucleotides) under Homo sapiens (human). The record is from Rfam by way of RNAcentral. Lineage: Eukaryota; Metazoa; Chordata; Mammalia; Primates; Hominidae.